GACGAACGCUGGCGGCGUGCCUAAUACAUGCAAGUAGAACGCACAGUUUAUACCGUAGCUUGCUACACCAUAGACUGUGAGUUGCGAACGGGUGAGUAACGCGUAGGUAACCUGCCUGGUAGCGGGGGAUAACUAUUGGAAACGAUAGCUAAUACCGCAUAAUAUUAAUUAUUGCAUGAUAAUUAAUUGAAAGGUGCAAUUGCACCACUACCAGAUGGACCUGCGUUGUAUUAGCUAGUAGGUGAGGUAACGGCUCACCUAGGCGACGAUACAUAGCCGACCUGAGAGGGUGGUCGGCCACACUGGGACUGGGACACGGCCCAGACCCCUACGGGAGGCAGCAGUAGGGAAUCUUCGGCAAUGGAAGGAAGUCUGACCGAGCAACGCCGCGGGAGGGAAGAAGGGUGUCGGAUCGUAAAGAUCUGUUGUAAGGGAAGAACGGGUGUGAGAGUGGAAAGUUCACACUGUGACGGUAGCUUACCAGAAAGGGACGGCUAACUACGUG
Molecule: ribosomal RNA, 505 nt
Filed under: uncultured bacterium
Lineage: Bacteria
Description: partial 16S ribosomal RNA
Rfam family: Bacterial small subunit ribosomal RNA
Source: RNAcentral